UGGGGAAUUUUGGACAAUGGGCGCAAGCCUGAUCCAGCCAUGCCGCGUGCGGGAAGAAGGCCUUCGGGUUGUAAACCGCUUUUGUCAGGGAAGAAAUCUUCUGAGUUAAUACCUCGGGAGGAUGACGGUACCUGAAGAAUAAGCACCGGCUAACUACGUGCCAGCAGCCGCGGUAAUACGUAGGGUGCAAGCGUUAAUCGGAAUUACUGGGCGUAAAGCGUGCGCAGGCGGUUUUGUAAGACAGAGGUGAAAUCCCCGGGCUCAACCUGGGAACUGCCUUUGUGACUGCAAGGCUUGAGUGCGGCAGAGGGGGGAUGGAAUUCCGCGUGUAGCAGUGAAAUGCGUAGAUAUGCGGAGGAACACCGAUGGCGAAGGCAAUCCCCUGGGCCUGCACUGACGCUCAUGCACGAAAGCGUGGGGAGCAAACAGGAUUAGAUAGCCCUGGUAGUCCACGCCCUAAAACGAUGUCAACUGGUUGUUGGGAAGGUUCCUUCUCAGUAACGUAGCUAACGCGUGAAGUUG
RNAcentral lists this ribosomal RNA (522 nucleotides) under uncultured bacterium. Its description in RNAcentral is "partial 16S ribosomal RNA". It matches the Rfam family "Bacterial small subunit ribosomal RNA", at positions 355 to 867 of the family's 1533-position model. The record is from RNAcentral.